Molecule: ribosomal RNA, 248 nt
Filed under: uncultured Planctomycetales bacterium
Lineage: Bacteria; Pseudomonadati; Planctomycetota; Planctomycetia; Planctomycetales
Description: partial 16S ribosomal RNA
Rfam family: Bacterial small subunit ribosomal RNA
Source: RNAcentral
GUCAGGAGUUAGGAAAUGUAAGGGUGUUAAUAGCGCCUUUAUUUGACGAAGGCUCCAGAGGAAGCCACGGCUAACUCUGUGCCAGCAGCCGCGGUAAUACAGAGGUGGCAAGCGUUGUUCGGAAUUAUUGGGCGUAAAGAGCACGUAGGUGGUCCUGCAAGUCUGUUGUGAAAUCCUUCCGCUUAACGGGAGAACGGCAGCUGAUACUACAGGACUAGAGUACGGGAGGGGAGAGUGGAACUUCUGGU